GGAAGUAAAAGUCGUAACAAGAUUUCCGUAGGUGAACCUGCGGAAGGAUCAUUAAAGUUAUAGUCCCCCGGCCCUCUGGGCUGGGGUCUUCUAUACCACCCUUUGUUUAUUACACCAUUGUUGCUUUGGCAGGCCUGCCCUCGGGCUGCUGGCUCCGGCCGGCUCGCGUCUGCCAGAGGACCUAAACUCUGUUUGUAUAUGAAGUCUGAGUACUAUAUAAUAGUUAAAACUUUCAACAACGGAUCUCUUGGUUCUG
RNAcentral lists this unclassified non-coding RNA (256 nucleotides) under plant metagenome. RNAcentral describes it as "partial contains small subunit ribosomal RNA, internal transcribed spacer 1, and 5.8S ribosomal RNA". The stretch from base 1 to 54 matches the Rfam family "Eukaryotic small subunit ribosomal RNA", at positions 1778 to 1831 of the family's 1831-position model. The record is from RNAcentral.